Molecule: long non-coding RNA, 433 nt
Organism: Homo sapiens (human)
Lineage: Eukaryota; Metazoa; Chordata; Mammalia; Primates; Hominidae
Source: Ensembl
UUUCAAAUUAUCUAAAUAUGGUUUUCUUUGUCUUUUUCUUUCAACUUUGUCGAAGUUUGUUUUUUCCUAAUUUGUGCAAUUACUAAUUAUAUGACUCUUGGAUAAGUUACUUUACCUUUAGAAAUCAAUUUUCUGAUUUUUACAAUGGAAUAACAAUAGUGGCUACUUUCUGGGUUGUUGUAAGGAUUGGAUUUUUUUAAAUGCACAUAGCACAUGCCUAGCAUAUAGUUAUGGAUCUGUAGUAAUAGAUGUUAGCUAUUUUUCUUCUUCUUCUUUUUUUUUUUUAUUUUUUUUGAGAUGGAGUUUCUCUCUUGUCUCCCAGGCUGGAAUGCAGUGGUGCGAUCUUGGCUCACUGCAAACUCUGCCUCCCAGGAGAAUCACUUGAACCCAGGAGGCAGAGGUUGCAGAGAGCUGAGAUCAUGCCAUUGCACGC